GGGAACCACUUACCAGCCCGCCUGGGAAAGCGCCGCGCUGGGGACCUCGGCCAUGGUGGCUUCUCGGGCCGAACAUCACUGGACCUGAGACAAGUUUGGAGAACUGCCAAGAAUAAUUGUGCUCCUGGUGACUAUAGCUGUCAUUACAACAUCUAAAGUUCAUAAAAUAGAAAGUAAGGACGUAUUGAGCACCCUUGCGGCACACCUGUGAAUUUGAGGAUGGGAGGUAAAACCUGGACCAAAUCCAGGGGCCCAGAACAUCGGUCAAGUUUCUGGGGGUUGUCUGGUCAGCUUAGCACUCCUUGUGGCUUGGCUUGUGCCGGCUACAGGGAACGUCUUCCUUCACUGGGCGAGCACCAUGGCCUCUGCAAUGAACCAGUCUGAUUGCUACCCAGAUUGUGCCCACCUGCCAGUGUCCACUGUGUCAGGUAUCCCGUGGUGGUUAUCCCCUCUGCGUGGGACCGACUGGACUGCGGUGCAAACCUGGGACGGAGUAGUGGCCGCCAGCCUGUGGCCUGUGGAGAGCCAAGAACCUGGACACAAUCGCACCUUCAGUAGUGGCCAAACCCAUUCCGAGGCCCUGCUGCAAGCCCGAGACCUGUUCAACACCACUUGGAAUUUGGACACUUACCAACUCUGGAUUGGUCGGAUGUGGGUGACAGUGGGGUCUGGGCAAUUAGCUGCCUCUUCCAUGCUCUGCUGAGGACAGCAGGAGGACCCAGUAUGGUGUUUAAGUAUAGCAGGGUGACCCUGUUGCUCCAUGCCUCCCUUAGGGGUGUGUUGGACCUCCCCCCCCCCCAGGCAUUAUGCAACUACACCUGGCAGGUGAAUGGUACAUAUUGGCCUGGCUCAAAGAACAUGUCUGAGUCGACUUUGGUCCACUUGGCCCCAAAUGGGACAUAGUGGAUCUGUGGACCCUAUCUGUGGCCAUGGCUACCUGUAGGUUGGCUAGGCCAAAGCACCAUAGGAUACGUUUUUUCCCAAGGGCAGGUACAUAGGCACCUGCCAGCCACAGUUUCAAACCUGACCCUUGUACUGGCUUGUUGGACCAGGGAGGUAUUCCAAUGGUAUAACCACCUCCUAAACGUAUUUACUCCUGGGAUAGGUCUAGAAUUAGUAAUGAUGCAAGUAGAAGCUUUGAACACUUUUACGCAAGUUGCUAUAAAUGAUAGCUACCACAGUCUGUCCCUCAACAUCGAAGUGGCACAUAUGCGAAAGGUAGUGUUACAGAACUGCAUGGCCCUUGACAUUCUAACUGCUGCCCAAGGGGGAACUUGCGCUAUAGUACGUACCACGUGCUGUGUAUACAUUCCUGAUGAAGAGGGUAAUGUGACUCAUUAUUUAGAGCACAUACAGCAGGAAAUAGAGCACCUUUCUGCCCCCCAGGGCAGCAUUGACAAGUGGUUGCAGGCAUGGGGAGUGGGCUGGAGGCAUUACAUGCUCUAUGUCCUCUGCGCAGGAGGUAUCCUGCUCCUCACUUGCAUGGGUAUAUAUUGUUGUUGUGGUAUGUACCUCCUGAGUGUCAGCUUUUGUGGGGCACAAAUCGCCUCCCUGAUGUUGAAGCCCCUUGUGAACUGCUCAGGGACCUCUGAGGAAGACUAUUAGGCUAAGAUUGUGUGAGCGGGUCAGAAGGGGUGGAGUUUGGGGAUGUUGUGCCCCGACUCUGACCCACCAGAGUUUCAAGACCGAGGCUGUGUCUUCCCGGUUAUGGUAUGCGCCCUGGACAUGUGCAGAUCGAGCUGGUAAACACUUUAUCUAAGCUGUUUUGCUUUUGUAGUGAUGUCAUGCAGCAUAUAAAGGGGUGGCUCUAGUUAGGCGG
Ornithorhynchus anatinus (platypus) is the source of this 1819-nucleotide long non-coding RNA. RefSeq lists it as uncharacterized. Lineage: Eukaryota; Metazoa; Chordata; Mammalia; Monotremata; Ornithorhynchidae. The record is from RefSeq and is a predicted model, not a curated record. The transcript has 4 exons.